GAUGAACGCUAGCGGCAGGCUUAACACAUGCAAGUCGAGGGGUAGUCUAGCAAUAGAUGAGACCGGCGCACGGGUGCGUAACGCGUAUGCAAUCUACCUUUUACAGAGGGAUAGCCCAGAGAAAUUUGGAUUAAUACCUCAUAGUAUAACGACUCGGCAUCGAGAUGUUAUUAAAGUUCCAACGGUAAAAGAUGAGCAUGCGUCCCAUUAGCUAGUUGGUGUGGUAACGGCACACCAAGGCAACGAUGGGUAUGGGUCCUGAGAGGGAGAUCCCCCACACUGGUACUGAGACACGGACCAGACUCCUACGGGAGGCAGCAGUGAGGAAUAUUGGUCAAUGGGCGCAAGCCUGAACCAGCCAUGCCGCGUGCAGGAUGACGGUCCUAUGGAUUGUAAACUGCUUUUGUACAGGAAGAAACACUCCCUCGUGAGGGAGCUUGACGGUACUGUAAGAAUAAGGAUCGGCUAACUCCGUGCCAGCAGCCGCGGUAAUACGGAGGAUCCAAGCGUUAUCCGGAAUCAUUGGGUUUAAAGGGUCCGUAGGCGGGUUUAUAAGUCAGUGGUGAAAGCCCAUCGCUCAACGAUGGAACGGCCAUUGAUACUGUAGAUCUUGAAUUAUUAGGAAGUAACUAGAAUAUGUAGUGUAGCGGUGAAAUGCUUAGAGAUUACAUGGAAUACCAAUUGCGAAGGCAGGUUACUACUAAUGGAUUGACGCUGAUGGACGAAAGCGUGGGUAGCGAACAGGAUUAGAUACCCUGGUAGUCCACGCCGUAAACGAUGGAUACUAGCUGUUCGGAGCAAUCUGAGUGGCUAAGCGAAAGUGAUAAGUAUCCCACCUGGGGAGUACGUUCGCAAGAAUGAA
RNAcentral lists this ribosomal RNA (862 nucleotides) under uncultured bacterium. RNAcentral's name for it is "bacterial SSU rRNA". It matches the Rfam family "Bacterial small subunit ribosomal RNA", at positions 28 to 898 of the family's 1533-position model. The record is from RNAcentral.